GCUUACGGCCAUACCAGCCUGGGUACGCCCGAUCUCGUCUGAUCUCGGAAGCUAAGCCGGGUCGGGCCUGGUUAGUACUUGGAUGGGAGACCGCCUGGGAAUACCAGGUGCUGUAUGCA
This 119-nucleotide ribosomal RNA is filed under the name Salmo salar (Atlantic salmon). The record is from RNAcentral. Lineage: Eukaryota; Metazoa; Chordata; Actinopteri; Salmoniformes; Salmonidae.